Molecule: ribosomal RNA, 465 nt
Filed under: uncultured bacterium
Lineage: Bacteria
Description: partial 16S ribosomal RNA
Rfam family: Bacterial small subunit ribosomal RNA
Source: RNAcentral
GACGAACGCUGGCGGCGUGCUUAACACAUGCAAGUCGAACGGAAAGGCCCUGCUUGCAGGGUACUCGAGUGGCGAACGGGCGAGUAACACGUGGGUGCUCUGCCCUGCACUUCGGGAUAAGCCUGGGAGACUGGGUCUAUUACCGGAUAGGAGCCAUUUUUAGUGUGAUGGUUGGAAAGUUUUUUCGGUGUAGGAUGAGCUCGCGGCCUAUCAGCUUGUUGGUGGGGUGAUGGCCUACCAAGGCGGCGACGGGUAGCCGGCCAGAGAGGGUGGACGGCCACAUUGGGACUGAGAGGCGGCCCAGACGCCGACGGGAGGCAGAAGGGGGGAAGAUUGCACAAGGGGCGCAAGCCGGAUGCAGCGACGCCGCGGGGGGGAUGACGGCCUUCGGGUGGUAAACUCCCUUCGCGAGGGACGAAGCUUUUUGUGACGGUACCUAGAGAAGAAGCACCGGCUAACUACGUG